GACGAACGCUGGCGGCGUGCUUAACACAUGCAAGUCGAACGGAAAGGCCCCCUUGUGGGGUACUCGAGUGGCGAACGGGUGAGUAACACGUGAGAAACCUACCCUUGACUUUGGGAUAACUUUAGGAAACUGGGGCUAAUACCGGAUAGGAGCUCCUGCUGCAUGGUGGGGGUUGGAAAGUUUCGGCGGUUGGGGAUGGACUCGCGGCUUAUCAGCUUGUUGGUGGGGUAGUGGCUCACCAAGGCUUUGACGGGUAGCCGGCCUGAGAGGGCGACCGGCCACAUUGGGACUGAGAUACGGCCCAGACUCCUACGGGAGGCAGCAGUGGGGAAUAUUGCACAAUGGGCGGAAGCAUGAUGCAGCAACGCCGCGUGCGGGAUGACGGCCUUCGGGUUGUAAACCGCUUUCGCCUGUGACGAAGCGUGAGUGACGGUAAUGGGUAAAGAAGCACCGGCUAACUACGUG
Molecule: ribosomal RNA, 465 nt
Filed under: uncultured bacterium
Lineage: Bacteria
Description: partial 16S ribosomal RNA
Rfam family: Bacterial small subunit ribosomal RNA
Source: RNAcentral